GCGGAUUCUCUCUCUCAAGACGCUCUCUCGCUCCCGCUCUCUCUCUCUCUCUCUAAAAAACGGUUCUCGCGGAUGCUCUCUGACGUAUUCUCUUGCUGAGGGGAUUAUCGCUCUCUCCGAAUCUCUCUGCAUCUCGGAGAGCGAUCUAGGGUUUGACGGCCGAAUCGAUUCAAGGUGGAAAUCGGUCUCUCUCUUUAGCUUGAGGAUCUCGACUUCCUCAUCUGCUCUUUCUCGAGCUCUGAAGCUGAUUGGCAAUGGUGGUAACGACGGCAGCGGCGGCAACAGCUUCCAAUCGUUUUCUUGUUCUGCUUUGCCGGUAGUCUCGCGCGCAAGAGAGAUUCCGACGAUUCCUCUCUGGCUGGAUCUCGCGCUCAGGAUCUGUCUCUCGCUCUCUGGAUUUGUCUCUCGGUCGGUCUCUCUCUUGAUUGAAGAUGGAACAGAUGAAGAUCGAAGGAGUUCUUCGUUGUUACUUGAUCAUCAAAAUCUCUGAAGAUGCUUCGGAGUAGUUGAUGUGCUGAUUUCCAGAAAAUCGCAGAAUGAAGAUUGAAAGAAGCUGAGAAAAACAUGUCUAGAUUGCAACUCGAAAGAAGCAUACACCAUCUUCAAAUCAGCAGCCGAGGCGUUCAUUCGAUGAGUUCGAGGAUCACAGAAUCAAAGGCCAGCGUUCUUCAUUUUCCAGGAGUUCCAAUAACAAAAUCGAAGCUAAGUGUUUGGUUUCCUCUUUUCUAUUUCGGUAAGGAGUGUUAUUAGAUUCAGAUCCUCCACUGAUUUCAGUACAUGUUUUUUUGUUAAAUAGCAACUUUAUUGUCACUGAAUGGUGAACAUCUCCGAAGGUCAGUUCUUGGCUGAUUCCUUAAGGACCAAGGUGGGUGCCUUGAAACUCCAUUUAAUAUCAUCCGAUGAGGCGAGAGCUUCUCGUGUCGUGAUUCAUGAUCGACAAUGAAGGUUCGGGGCCAGGAUGCAUUGCAAAUCUAAUUAAAAUCGAUGUUUGUAUGAUCUGGAAUUGAUUGCAGUUGGAUGCUGAGAUUCUGUGAUUUUCGAUUUCGGAUGAGUGACUCACUGUUUCGGCUGAAAGGAGGUGCUAGAUGAGGUUUUUUGAUCUCGAGUCCUUCUAGACAUAUAAUAUAUACUUCUAGAGCUUCGAUUUGAUAUGUUGCACGCCCUGAACGGACGUCGUUCAGUCAUCAAAAAACACCUACAAAGUCUGUCAAUUCUGCAGUAGUUUUAAGGUUGAUUUGCUGUUCUGAUUGAUUCUCUGUUUCAGAUGACCUUUUGUGAAAAUGACCUGAUAUGAGCUGGUUUCUGUGGUUUUCUGUGUUUGAUGUCUUCACGAGAGUUGAAGAAGACUCAAAGAACUUUCCAACGACCCAUAGAACGUUCCGAUCCGAUGUCGUUUACUACCUGAAAGUAGCUCGGCAUUUAGCACCAGUUUUCUGGAAAAUUUUGGUGUUCUGACUUGCUCUCUGUUCUGAAUGACCUUCUGUGUAAACCGCUUGAUAUGAACUGGUAGGUGAUGUUAUUAGGAUUUAAUGUCUUCUAGAUAAUUGUAAUAGACAUCUCAAGCUUUAAAAUGAUAUAUUGCAUGCUUGAAUCGACCAUCAUUUGCUAUGUUUAACAUUUUUUUUUCUAAACAAUUAUGAAAUCUGGAAUUUGCCUUGGUCAGAAAUGCAUAUACUGUUAUUGUUGGCCUGAUUGUCUGUCACUUUCUUAUGAUGCUGAUUUUGCAUUAUUUGCACAUCAAUUGGACUCAACUUCUCUUGUGAUGCGCAUGAUAGAAAUCUGUCAUAAAAUGAAAUUCAGAACCCCUGUUGUUCCCUUGUCGAAGCUGACAUCUUGUCAUUCUUCUAUGAUUUUCUUGUUAAGGAUUCUAAGAUUGGGUCUUUAACAAAAGUUGUUCGCCUUUCUUUUGUUCGCGCUGUGGUAAAAUUUCAUAUUCUUCAGAUUUUCUUUUUUAGAUCAAAUCACUAUUCAUGUGUUAUGACAUCCUGAUAUUUUGCUGCAUUUUUGACGAAGUUGUAUGCAUGAAACUUGUGCCUCAUUGUCUUCUUGACAUUUGAAACACGUGUUACAAGUUUCGCAUUAAUGCAUGGCAUAUCAUAUUUGAAUCUCGUUUGAUAUGAAUAUCAUGCACCCAUUUGGCUAAUUGCAAUUGAAAUUUGUCAAGCAUGACAUUCUUAGUUCCAAGUCACUUUGUAAUGUUAAUGACUUGUGUGACUUCUUAGCAUUCUGAUUUAGGGUUAAAUGUUUACUCAAACCUUUUUCGCAUUCAACCUUAUGUCAUGUGCAAGUUUCACAUUUUUGUACAUUGUCUAGGUGGUCUUAUGAACCUUUAAACAUGCAUUGUAUUUUGUCAUGUUUGUGACUUGAAUUUGCUAGAUUCAUGUUCAUGUCUGAUGCCUAUGUCUGUUCGUUGUAAUAAUGAUUUCUAUGCAUUGUCUUAGUCAUAUAAGAUGAGGCAACGGAUUCUUAUUUCUUAGACUAGGUUUAGAAUAGGAUCUCGAAGAUGGAGAAGGCGUGAAGAUGGUGAAGGUCGAUGUCCACUCCGACUGUUAUCAUGUAAUGCUCAUUUUCCCGACAUAUGUCUCGAGUUUUAUGCAUUGUAUAAAGCCCGACGAGUUGCGGGUUUCCUUUCUUUCUCGAUUGUUUUCUCUUUUA
Eucalyptus grandis is the source of this 2655-nucleotide long non-coding RNA. RefSeq lists it as uncharacterized. The record is from RefSeq and is a predicted model, not a curated record. The transcript has 2 exons. Lineage: Eukaryota; Viridiplantae; Streptophyta; Magnoliopsida; Myrtales; Myrtaceae.